Molecule: long non-coding RNA, 691 nt
Filed under: Ursus maritimus (polar bear)
Lineage: Eukaryota; Metazoa; Chordata; Mammalia; Carnivora; Ursidae
Description: lncRNA (ENSUMAG00000006897.1)
Source: RNAcentral
AUCUGCACGCUCGGGGGCCGCGAGGGCUUGGAGCAUCCCUUUGCACCCCUGAAAGGGGGGUGACCUGGUUACCUUACGCUGACCUCCUGACAGCUGUCUAGCUGCACUGAGAAAGUACGGGGCCCCAGAGGGUGCUAGCUUCCAAGAUACUUUGGGUGUUUUCUGCACCCUCCAACCCAACUGGCCUCCCACACACACACACAACACACACGCACACGCACACACUACGCAGGAGGAGGCGGAGGCCUGAGGGAUUAGAGGGAUAGAGACCCUGUCACUCAGAAGAGAUUAGAAUCUGGGCAGGACGUGUCCACGCUGAAGUCUUCAGAAAGUAGGUGCAGCAUCUGCGGCUCCUCGCGUCCAGCCCUCAGAGGCUUUCUUUGCCCUGCUCUCCCAACACCUUCUCGUAUCUGGAGGAGGGGCACAUUGGAGGAUCCUAAAAAGUUUGAAGUGGGCACCAAACUGCUUGCAGGCCUCUACCCUUGGUCUCUGGUGAGAGGAAAAAACUAUCAAAAAAUGUGCUCUUGGCAAGUUUGGGAGCAAGGAGGAAUGCAGUAGAUUUUUCCCCCUUUUAAAGUUUUCACAUAUUGGCAAUUUAAAACCCAAAGCAUUGUUUACCACCUGUCAGACUCACUCGUAAGUGAAAGGAUUAACUAAUAAAAGAUUUGUAAAAUGCUUCCUGAAUAUAAAA